GACGAACGCUGGCGGUGUGCUUAACACAUGCAAGUCGAACGGUAAGGCCCUUCGGGGUACACGAGUGGCGAACGGGUGAGUAACACGUGGGUGAUCUGCCCUGCACUUCGGGAUAAGCCUGGGAAACUGGGUCUAAUACCGGAUAGGACUCCGGACUGCAUGGUCUGGGGUGGAAAGCUUUUGCGGGGUGGGAUGGGCCCGCGGCCUAUGAGCUUGUUGGUGGGGUGAUGGCCUACCAAGGCGACGACGGGUAGCCGGCCUGAGAGGGUGACCGGCCACACUGGGACUGAGAUACGGCCCAGACUCCUACGGGAGGCAGCAGUGGGGAAUAUUGCACAAUGGGCGCAAGCCUGAUGCAGCGACGCCGCGUGAGGGAUGACGGCCUUCGGGUUGUAAACCUCUAUCAGCAUCGACGAAGCGAAAGUGACGGUAGGUGCAGAAGAAGGACCGGCCAACUACGUGCCAGCCGCCGCCGUAA
RNAcentral lists this ribosomal RNA (478 nucleotides) under uncultured bacterium. RNAcentral describes it as "partial 16S ribosomal RNA". It matches the Rfam family "Bacterial small subunit ribosomal RNA", at positions 28 to 523 of the family's 1533-position model. The record is from RNAcentral.